Molecule: long non-coding RNA, 1390 nt
Filed under: Monodelphis domestica (gray short-tailed opossum)
Lineage: Eukaryota; Metazoa; Chordata; Mammalia; Didelphimorphia; Didelphidae
Description: lncRNA (ENSMODG00000029975.2)
Source: RNAcentral
CCUGACUAUUUUUAGAACACCUACUUAAAGUUGAAUGGGGAGAUCUGUCCAUUUUUAGAGCUAAUCACCAAAAGUAUAAACAUCCCACUUAUUCAUUAAGUGGGAGGUCUGUGACCCACAUGUGCAAUAGUGGGUGAUGAAUAAGAAUCGACUGACUCCUGGGCAGUACUAAGCAAGGCUUUAAACUAUGAUUUGUCCACAUAAAAAGUGGAGGAAGACACAGGAAGUGAUGUGAGAUAAAGUGUCUUUAAAAGGGAAUGACAACUUCCUGAAGGAGUUCUAUUGGGACUUCAUUCUUUGGAGUGGAGGUUGAAGGAGAAAUCUGCUGACUGGACCUGAGACCCUAUUCCUGAUGAUAUUGUUGGACUGACACAUGAAACACUGAAGACUGCAUUACUCAAUAACUUACAAGCUGAAACUCUUUCCAGGCUUGCUUUCACAAGAAAAUGGAUAUUUUUCAAGCUGAACUCCUUAUGGCAUGGACUUGAGGGCCAUUAUCAUUCUCUUUGCUCUUCUAUGGAUGCUCUCCAGUUUGCCUUUAAAUGAGACUGCUGCCACACUCUCUGAUACUGCUAAAAGGAACUUCAGAAAUGGAAAACCUUUCUGGACAUCUUUGAAAAACUUCCACAGAACAUGGUGCAGCCCAGACUCAUGGUUGGUUAGGAGGACAAAGUCAGUGUGUAACCCUUGUGUCAGGAGUUUUCACAUGAUCUGGAGGAUUCUCAUGCAGACAUUUGCAGGAGAAUGAACAGCCAAACAAGUUGUACUUGCUGAGUAAACUGUCCAGCUGGGAUAUGAAACCUGCCAAAAGGAAAGCAAGAGAAUGAGCAACCAUGAAGUUUAGAACUGCUUGUUAGAAACUGAGAGAACUGGUCUUCUCUGGGAUUAUCCCAAAAGGAAACCCUGACACAGGUGAGGGGGAGUUAUCAAAAAAAUGCUAGGGCCAUCUAGCAGUUGGAAAUCAGUCUCAAUUGUCCCUCUUUGUGAAAGUAGGAAGAAUUUAAUUUUAUUUUAAAAUAGUCAACUUGGAUUGUAAUAGAUGUGAAAUUUGAUAAAACUAUUUGUAUUCUGAGUUAGUUUUCAAAGUCCUUUGACACAAAAGAAAGCUUACUAGAUUGGAAGUCAAAAGACUUGGAUUCUGGUUCCAGAUCUUCUACUAGCCAGCUUUGUGACCUUGAUUAUGACAUUAAACUUCUGUUUUUCUCAACUAUUAUAUGAAAGAUUGUGACUAUAUUAUUUCUAGGGCAAAUUCCAACUCCACUAUCAUCUAAGCAGGCUCUAAAAUUUCUUCUAAAUCUACACAUUUAGGACCAUCUUGUCCCUUAUUGCAUCCUCUUGCAAUGUCCUCUCUUCUCAAUUUAAUACCUGGGUGACAGUGUCAGCAGUGGUG